GGAAGGGAUAAGUGCUGAAAGCAUCUAAGCAUGAAGCCCCCCUCAAGAUGAGAUUUCCCAUAGCGUAAGCUAGUAAGAUCCCUGAAAGAUGAUCAGGUUGAUAGGUUCGAGGUGGAAGCAUGGUGACAUGUGGAGCUGACGAAUACUAAUAGAUCGAGGACUUAACCAU
RNAcentral lists this ribosomal RNA (169 nucleotides) under Bacillus sp. 166amftsu. Its description in RNAcentral is "23S rRNA. Bacterial LSU". It matches the Rfam family "Bacterial large subunit ribosomal RNA", at positions 2757 to 2925 of the family's 2925-position model. Lineage: Bacteria; Bacillati; Bacillota; Bacilli; Caryophanales; Bacillaceae. The record is from RNAcentral.